GAGCGAACAGAGAAGGAGCUUGCUCCUUUGACGUUAGCGGCGGACGGGUGAGUAACACGUGGGCAACCUACCUUAUAGUUUGGGAUAACUCCGGGAAACCGGGGCUAAUACCGAAUAAUCUAUUUUACUUCAUGGUGAAAUACUGAAAGACGGUUUCGGCUGUCGCUAUAAGAUGGGCCCGCGGCGCAUUAGCUAGUUGGUGAGGUAACGGCUCACCAAGGCGACGAUGCGUAGCCGACCUGAGAGGGUGAUCGGCCACACUGGGACUGAGACACGGCCCAGACUCCUACGGGAGGCAGCAGUAGGGAAUCUUCCACAAUGGGCGAAAGCCUGAUGGAGCAACGCCGCGUGAGUGAAGAAGGUUUUCGGAUCGUAAAACUCUGUUGUAAGGGAAGAACAAGUACAGUAGUAACUGGCUGUACCUUGACGGUACCUUAUUAGAAAGCCACGGCUAACUACGUGCCAGCAGCCGCGGUAAUACGUAGGUGGCAAGCGUUGUCCGGAAUUAUUGGGCGUAAAGCGCGCGCAGGCGGUCCUUUAAGUCUGAUGUGAAAGCCCACGGCUCAACCGUGGAGGGUCAUUGG
This 584-nucleotide ribosomal RNA is filed under the name Lysinibacillus sphaericus. Its description in RNAcentral is "bacterial SSU rRNA". It matches the Rfam family "Bacterial small subunit ribosomal RNA", at positions 64 to 629 of the family's 1533-position model. Lineage: Bacteria; Bacillati; Bacillota; Bacilli; Caryophanales; Bacillaceae. The record is from RNAcentral.